This 243-nucleotide ribosomal RNA is filed under the name uncultured bacterium. Its description in RNAcentral is "partial 16S ribosomal RNA". It matches the Rfam family "Bacterial small subunit ribosomal RNA", at positions 119 to 354 of the family's 1533-position model. The record is from RNAcentral.
GGGUAACCUGCCCAAGAGACUGGGAUAACACCUGGAAACAGAUGCUAAUACCGGAUAACAACACUAGACGCAUGUCUAGAGUUUAAAAGAUGGUUCUGCUAUCACUCUUGGAUGGACCUGCGGUGCAUUAGCUAGUUGGUAAGGUAACGGCUUACCAAGGCAAUGAUGCAUAGCCGAGUUGAGAGACUGAUCGGCCACAUUGGGACUGAGACACGGUCCAAACUCCUACGGGAGGCAGCAGGU